RNAcentral lists this ribosomal RNA (492 nucleotides) under uncultured bacterium. RNAcentral's name for it is "partial 16S ribosomal RNA". It matches the Rfam family "Bacterial small subunit ribosomal RNA", at positions 31 to 507 of the family's 1533-position model. The record is from RNAcentral.
GAGGAAAGAUGGAGGCGUGCUUAACACAUGCAAGUGGAGCGACGAACCAGGGCUUGCCCUGGGGCAGAGCCGCGAACGGGUGAGUAACACGUGGGUAACGUGCCCCGAUGACUGGGACAACCCGGGGAAACCCGGGCUAAUACCGGAUGUGCCCCCUCACAUCAGUGAGGUGUGUAAAGGAAGCUUCGGCCUCCGCAUCGGGAUCGGCCCGCGGCCCAUUAGCUUGUUGGUGAGGUAACGGCUCACCAAGGCUGCGAUGGGUAGCUGGUCUGAGAGGACGAUCAGCCACACUGGGACUGAGACACGGCCCAGACUCCUACGGGAGGCAGCAGUGGGGAAUCUUGCGCAAUGCGCGAAAGCGUGACGCAGCAACGCCGCGUGGGGGAAGACGGCCUUCGGGUUGUAAACCCCUUUCAGUUGGGACGAAGGUCGGGCGGUUAACAGCCGUUCCGGCUGACGGUACCUUCACAAGAAGCCCCGGCUAACUACGUG